CCAUUAUUUAAUAAUAAUUAAUGUCUAAAUAAUACAACAUAAAUGAAAAAAUAUCAAACGAAAAAAGAAACAGGACUACGUUUUUCGUGGCAACGUUAAUCCGGUUUAAUGACAAGCAAGUAAUUUUUACAUCAUGAUGUAUAUUUUAUCACUAAAUUUUAAAUAAACAUCUCUUGGUCAACCACCAUGGGUGAUUAACACACGUGUGAUUUUGUAUUUUGAAAAUUUUCAAAUCAAUUUGUAUCAGUGUUUUAACUCACACGCGAUAGUUUUUAAAAUGACGAAAAUAUCGAUCAACAACAGACUCAAAUGCUAUAUUCGUUAUAUUGAAUUUGGAGUCAAGUUCUUAUUGGCGGUGCUGUUAUUUGCGCGUAUCAACGGGAAUGAUGUAGGGAGUACAAUAUCUUCUUGACAUGCCGGUACGUGUACGUAGCCACAUUUGAUUCGGUCGUUAUUUCGGAUAAAGUCAAAAUUUUUAGUGCGUUUAAACAAAUCACAGUAAAAAAAAGACAUCGACAUGAGUAACAAAGAAAUUAUCACGAUUGCUGGAGGAAUUGGUGGAAUGCAGUUAUCGAGUGCGAUGUGGGAAUCAUUUUGUCAUGAAUAUGGUAUUGAUGCUAACGGUCAACAGCGCGUACCACAACCGGAUGUAUCAAUGAGAUCAUUUUUUGAAGAAACAGAGGAAAGGAUCAUACCGCGUAAUAUAAUGGUUUAUCCUCACGAUGACAUUUCGAUUAUGACAGGCCACGAUGUAACGUGGCAACCAACGUUAUACCAUCCGGAUUCUAUAAUUGGUCUCAGAAAUAAUUUUAAUGAGGCAUUCUUUCCACAAGGUUAUUUUCUCGAUCAAGAAGGACUAGAAAGAACGUUAAACCGUAUUCGAAUAAUGUGCGAACAAUGUUCAAAUCUGGAUGGAUUUAUAAUUUGCAGGCAGUACUCUGAGCAUAUCAAUGGAUUCAUAUCGAGACUACUGGAAAACUUUACGGAGGACUAUAAAAAAAAAACUAAAAUAGAUUACGCAAAAGUUCCCCCGCCUAGUUCAAUUAAUUGUCACACCCGCACGGCAGUGCUUAACACUUUUUUCACUUUAUCCGACUGCAUGAAAAACAUAGACUGUUGUAUCAUAGCAGACAAUUCUGCACUAAGAAAAAUAUACACAGAGAAACUGCAUCAGAACGUAGGAGAAAAUUACUAUUACAUCUAUUCCGUGUACAACCGCGUAUUAGCACAAGCCUUUUCUACUAUUACCUCACCGUUAAGAUUUCGUUCGACGAACAACUGGAGUCUGGAUAAUUAUAAAGUUCUUGUACCGCAUAAACAAAUACCUUUUGUUGCAAUGUCUUACGCACCGUUUGUUACUAUUGAAAGAUUGGAGCUUCACAAUCAAUUAAUUGCAGACGUUACAAACGAAUGUUUGGAUCCUGCUAAUCAAACGUUGUCGUAUAAUCCACGUAACGGGGCUUAUAUCAGCAGUUUGCUUGUAUAUCGCGGUUCUGAAGUGAUACAAACAGACGUUACGACUAUGGUUGCCAACAUAAACGAUCAAUGCAAACAAGGCGUAGAUAUGCGCCGUGCCAAUGGUAUCGAAAACCCAUUUCAGGGUACGUCUGUUCGAACUGGUACUGCCGCGGUUGAGAGUACUUACAUAGCAUGUCCAAUCCAAUCGGUUGCAAGUUGCAGCAACAAUACCGAUCUUUAUUAUUACUGGAAAGCGUUAGCAGUUAAUGCGGAAGAUGCGCUCUACGAUAAAACUCGUCACUCCGAAGAACAAUUGAACACACUUGAUCAAAUCAAAUCUUGUUACAAUUAUAUAAACAGUACUAUGAACCGUAACUACGACUAUAAAGUGGAAUUAAAGAAUGUUAACGAAUGUCUGCUUAAUAUGUUAGACCUAUAUGCGGACUACGAUUGCAAAAUACAGCAUGAUCGACGUUUCUCAGGUUUCGUGCAUCAUGGUUUCUCAUGAUCGAUAUCAAGUGUGAUAAGAAAAGAAACGUUCCCAGCGAACGUGAACCCGCGCUGAGAGCAACUUUGACUGAUCGGUUAAGCCGAUUCUUUUUCGCCGCUCCCAUUUUUAAGUGACAUUAAACGUUUUGCGCACCAGAUGUUAUCUUUACGUCAGAAAAAAUUUUCGUCCAUGUUUGAAACAGUGAUCAACCUAAAAGACACAGUGUCCGUCGCAGAGAGGAGCGUGGAAAAGGCGCGCUGCUGGCCUUCGAGAAAAUGUUAUCUUGCAGAUCAUAUCGCACCAACUCUUGCGUUGUUAAAAUAAAUU
Pseudomyrmex gracilis is the source of this 2275-nucleotide RNA transcript. It is a transcript of the gene named tubulin alpha chain-like, with no coding region annotated. Lineage: Eukaryota; Metazoa; Arthropoda; Insecta; Hymenoptera; Formicidae. The transcript is spliced from 7 exons. The record is from RefSeq and is a predicted model, not a curated record.